RNAcentral lists this ribosomal RNA (243 nucleotides) under Corethron hystrix. Its description in RNAcentral is "partial Eukaryotic large subunit ribosomal RNA". It matches the Rfam family "Eukaryotic large subunit ribosomal RNA", at positions 179 to 429 of the family's 3401-position model. Lineage: Eukaryota; Bacillariophyta; Corethrophyceae; Corethrales; Corethraceae. The record is from RNAcentral.
GGCCAAGUCCCUUGGAAAAGGGCAGCAGAGAGGGUGAGACUCCCGUCCGCCUGGUGGAGCGAGUUGCGUGUCGACGAGUCGAGUUGUUUGGGAUUGCAGCUCAAAUUGGGUGGUAAAUUCCAUCUAAGGCUAAAUAUUGGUGGGAGACCGAUAGCGUACAAGUACCGUGAGGGAAAGAUGCAAAGAACUUUGAAAAGAGAGUUAAAGAGUACCUGAAAUUGCUGAAAGGUAAGCAAAGGAAAC